GCUGGNNGANUGAUUGGNGAGAAANUUUCUGUCUCUUUUUAAUUUUUUUUUGAAUUUAACUUUUAAGUAAAAAGGCUUAAAUUUUUAUUGAAGACGAGAAGACCCUAUAGAGUUUUAUAGUAUUUUAAUUAAAAAUUUAUUUGGAAUUGUUUAAUUUUUUGAUUUUAUAUUAUUUGGUUGGGGUGACUAAAAGAUUUGUUUAACUCUUUUAAUGUUUUAUAUCAUUGAUUUAUGAUUUUUUAAUCUAGAUUGUCUAAAUUUAAUGUAAAUUACCUUAGGGAUAACAGCGUAAUUUCUUUUUAGAGUUCUUAUUGAUAAAGAAGUUUGNGACCUCNAAUGUUGAUUUAAAUUGCCGCGGUA
Molecule: ribosomal RNA, 360 nt
Filed under: Agriotes stabilis
Lineage: Eukaryota; Metazoa; Arthropoda; Insecta; Coleoptera; Elateridae
Description: partial 16S ribosomal RNA
Source: RNAcentral